Molecule: long non-coding RNA, 1614 nt
Organism: Triticum aestivum (bread wheat)
Lineage: Eukaryota; Viridiplantae; Streptophyta; Magnoliopsida; Poales; Poaceae
Exons: 3
Source: RefSeq, a predicted model, not a curated record
AACCUCUCGAUCUCCCCAGUCCUAGCGACGCCCACCUCCCCCUGACCCCGCCCCCACCCGGCGUCGCCGCCCGCGCCAACUUCUGGUGAGUCACCGGCCCCGCCCCCUCCCACUCCCGCCCCGCCGGCAAGCCGGGCGCCGCCGCAGCCCCACCCCUGCCGGCGACGCCACCACAGCCCCGACCCCAACCGAUGACGCGCCACACCACCUGCCGGAGCACCUUGGGGUCGCCGGAUCCGGCGAGGAUCCUUCACCACCCUCCACUCUUCGGCGACCACCAGCCCGCGUGCGGAUGGGGUGCUAUCCUGCAGAUCGAGGAGGCGUCAAACUUCAGAUGGAGGAGGCCACAACCUGCAGCUGGCCGCGUGCCAUGGUCAGGCGUCGCCGUCAUCCUCCGUCACGCUGGGCACCUCCUGAGCGUUGGAGUGAAGAGCGAGCACGCUCACCCUGAUCCAAUCUGCAGCAGCACCCCGAGUCCUCCCAAAGCAGCCCAGAGCCGUUCAAGUAUGCAGCCCUGGGCCAUUCAAUGACGGAGCUGCCGACCAUUCGUGAAGACAACACCCUGGAUCCUGCUUGCCCACCAUCAAGUUCAACUUCUGUUGAAUCCUGUAAAGGGAGACUUAUUGUGAGAGCGAUCCCGCAUUAACUUUUUUUCGUUCAAAAUUGUGUUAGCUACUUCCGCUUCAGCUAGCCUGUGUAUGUAGCUACCAAGGUGGCAUGCAUUCAGCCUGUCUGUGUGACCACAUGUCGCGAGGUGCUAUCUAACUGAAACGAUUUAUGUACACUAGGAUCUCCAUGUACUGAACAUGUUAAAAAAGAUAUAUCAUGUAUAUUCUCCUCCUGUUUGUUUCUUGUGGUAUUUCAAGCCGCCACUACCAUUAGCAUUUUUUGUCUGAUGGUCCACGUCUUAUAAGUGUGCACUCUAAAAAAACAGAAUUUUAUGCAAUACUAGCAAACAGUAAGCGAACUUCUCCAUUUACAUUCUCCUAAAGAAGUAUGUAUUUUUUAAAUUAAUCUAGAAGUUCAAAGAUUAUAGUCCAGAGAGCUCAAUCAUUGGAUUUUGGGAAGAAUUCAUCUUACUGAUAAAUAAUGAAUAGAGAAAAAAAAUACAAAAUAGGUUUUGGGUCAGUACUAAAUAGGUUAGGAAUUGUUUGGCGUUGGUGGGGUGUUGGAGCGUUACUACUACUUGGUUCACUUCCAUUUCAAAGGUCUUGCUUGAAGAUAUCUUUGAAGUCAUAACCACAGUUGUCUUGAUUUCAAAUAGCGAUCCAUGGGUUGAGAUAUGAAGCUGAACUUGUUGUUAUGCCUCUAAACAUCUACCUCUUUCCUGUAGGUGUUGAUCCUGGUGCUUGUCACGAUUCACGAGGAAAGAUAGUCGGUCUUUGAACGGUCUGCUGUGUCUGAUUUUCAGCAGGCCAACAUGAUUAAUGCUAGUGCAACUCAUCUUCAAAAGUGUACAUGGACGCAAUGUGGAAUUUGUUCCUGCUGCUGUUGUUUAGAUAGAUCACACUAGAACAUUUUGUACGAACCAUUUAUUCAAGUGAGAGAGAUAGGCUUCUUCGUAGUUCAUCUAUUUCCUGGCAAAAGCAGAAAGUGUAACAACAUUUGUUCCAU